AGAAAAAGAAAAAUUGAUAGCUUCCGUUUCACGCGCCCCUGCUUUUUGUUUCUUCACACUUUGUAAGCAUUAACAAUGCUUAACCUCCCCUGACUUUCCCCUCUGCAAUAUUGUCCCUGCCCUGAAAUGCUACUGCUGAAUAAACAAAGAUGGCUUAUGUUCCACCGCACAGGAGAGUACAGGGGUCGUCGAGUUCUCAGGCCCCUGAACUAUGCUAUUUGCCAGAUGCGGGCAUUGAUGUAGAACCUACCGUUUUCAUUUGGUUUGCUGUUGAUGCGAAUGUCAAUCCGCCGCCGCCUAAUUUGCAGUUUAAAUUCAAACCAUUUGCAGACACAACAAAUCCACGUCUGCAAGACAAGAAGCUUUACACCAUUUCUGUACACUCCCAUCCUGUAGACGGAGCUCCAAAAGUACAGACAGAGGAAUCAAAACAACCCUAUACAUUCUAACGCUCUAUUUGGAAAUUUUGCCCGUUAAAAUAUUAUCAUUAAAACAUUGAGCACGAGCAAAUUCUUUGAGCAUGUUAACAAUUAUGAUUCCAAAUAUGAGUAUAAGCGUCGUCUAGUUCUGAAACCCCUCCACGCUUUGUGAAGAGACUAUGCUAUUACAUUGAGGCGGAUGUUGAUGAAGGAUCUAACGUUCGCAUUUGGUUUACUGUUGAUUCAAAUGCCAAUCCGCCGGCUAAUUUGAAGCUUGAAUUCAAACCCUUUGCAGACACAUCAAUUCCACAUCUGCCAGACAAGAAGGUUUACACCAUUUGUGUAAAAUCCCAUCCUGUAGACGGUAAUAACUUUCGGACCUUUAAAUAAUUGCAUUUUACUUGUAUUCAGAGUAUUACGUUUGGAAUUGGGAAUUCUCUUUAUUUGCUUUCAACGAUUUUUCAGCUUUAAAGUUCACGCUGAAACAGAGUUCUCUUUGUGAGUCGGACAAUACCCGAAUCUCCACUUUACAGGGUGUUUUUUACAGCGUGUCAAAUUAGAUGUUUUAUAGGGAUUAUAUAAUUUUUGAGUCUAUUUAAUUGAUCUAUAUUUUAUUAGUAGUUGUUUUUACAAAUUCGUCUUUGUUGAAUAUGGAUAGUCUAUUU
Long non-coding RNA from Cryptomeria japonica (Japanese cedar), 1084 nucleotides. RefSeq lists it as uncharacterized. NCBI's taxonomy places the organism in Eukaryota, Viridiplantae, Streptophyta, Pinopsida, Cupressales, Cupressaceae. The transcript has 2 exons. The record is from RefSeq and is a predicted model, not a curated record.